GUGCCAGCCGCCGCGGUAAUACAGAGGUGGCAAGCGUUGUUCGGAUUUAUUGGGCGUAAAGGGUCCGUAGGCGGUUUGGAUAGUCGGAUGUGAAAUCCCACAGCUUAACUGUGGAACUGCAUUCGAAACUUCCAGACUAGAGUAUGAGAGGGGUCAAGGGAAUUCCCGGUGUAAGGGUGAAAUCUGCAGAGAUCGGGAAGAACACCAGUCGCGAAGGCGCUUGACUGGCUCAUUACUGACGCUCAGGGACGAAAGCUAGGGGAGCAAACGGGAUUAGAAACCCCCGUAGUCC
Molecule: ribosomal RNA, 292 nt
Filed under: uncultured bacterium
Lineage: Bacteria
Description: partial 16S ribosomal RNA
Rfam family: Bacterial small subunit ribosomal RNA
Source: RNAcentral